RNAcentral lists this ribosomal RNA (513 nucleotides) under uncultured bacterium. RNAcentral's name for it is "bacterial SSU rRNA". It matches the Rfam family "Bacterial small subunit ribosomal RNA", at positions 32 to 518 of the family's 1533-position model. The record is from RNAcentral.
GACGCUGGCGGCGUGCCUAAUACAUGCAAGUCGAACGGUCUUUCUAUGGAAGCUUGCUUCCACUGAGAAGAUAGUGGCGAACGGGUGAGUAACACGUGGGUAACCUGCCCAUAAGAGGGGGAUAACAUCCGGAAACGGGUGCUAAUACCGCAUAGUUUUCUUGAUUGCAUGAUUGAGAAAGGAAAGACGGCCUUUGUGCUGUCGCUUAUGGAUGGACCCGCGGCGUAUUAGUUAGUUGGUGAGGUAACGGCUCACCAAGACGAUGAUACGUAGCCGACCUGAGAGGGUGAUCGGCCACAUUGGGACUGAGACACGGCCCAAACUCCUACGGGAGGCAGCAGUAGGGAAUCUUCCGCAAUGGACGAAAGUCUGACGGAGCAACGCCGCGUGAGUGAAAGAAGGUUUUCGGAUCGUAAAACUCUGUUGUCAGAGAAGAACAAGUUGGAGAGUAACUGCUCCAGCCUUGACGGUAUCUGACCAGAAAGCCACGGCUAACUACGUGCCAGCCGCCGC